AAAGGGGAGCAAUCCCUGAGUACAGUGGCGUACGGGUGAGUAACACGUGGAUGAUCUAUCUCUUAGUGGGGAAUAGCCCUGGGAAACCGGGGAUAAUACCGCAUAAGCUCGAGAGAGGAAAGCAGCAAUGCGCUGAGAGAGGAGUCCGCGGCCGAUUAGCUAGUUGGCAGGGUAAGAGCCUACCAAGGCAGAGAUCGGUAGCCGGCCUGAGAGGGCACACGGCCACACUGGCACUGAAACACGGGCCAGACUCCUACGGGAGGCAGCAGUGGGGAAUCUUGCACAAUGGGGGCAACCCUGAUGCAGCGACGCCGCGUGAGCGAUGAAGCCCUUCGGGGUGUAAAGCUCUUUCGGCAGGGAAGAUAAUGACGGUACCUGCAGAAGCAGCUGCGGCUAACUACGUGCCAGCAGCCGCGGUAAUACGUAGGCAGCGAGCGUUGUUCGGAGUUACUGGGCGUAAAGGGUGUGUAGGCGGUUGUUUAAGUUUGGUGUGAAAUCUCCCGGCUCAACUGGGAGGGUGCGCCGAAUACUGAAUGACUUCGAGUACGGGAGAGGUGAGUGGAAUUCCUGGUGUAGCGGUGAAAUGCGUAGAUAUCAGGAGGAACACCGGUGGUGUAGACGGCUCACUGGACCGUAACUGACGCUGAGACACGAAAGCGUGGGUAGCAAACAGGAUUAGAUACCCUGGUAGUCCACGCCCUAAACGAUGCAUAUUUGGUGUGGGCAGUUCAUUCUGUCCGUGCCGGAGCUAACGCGUUAAAUAUGCCGCCUGGGGAGUACAGUCGCAAGGCUGAAACUCAAAGGAAUUGAC
RNAcentral lists this ribosomal RNA (811 nucleotides) under uncultured Bacillota bacterium. Its description in RNAcentral is "bacterial SSU rRNA". It matches the Rfam family "Bacterial small subunit ribosomal RNA", at positions 71 to 914 of the family's 1533-position model. Lineage: Bacteria; Bacillati; Bacillota. The record is from RNAcentral.